AUGAACGCUGGCGGCGUGCCUCAUACAUGCAAGUCGAGCGAACGGACGAGAAGCUUGCUUCUCUGAUGUUAGCGGCGGACGGGUGAGUAACACGUGGAUAACCUACCUAUAAGACUGGGAUAACUUCGGGAAACCGGAGCUAAUACCGGAUAAUAUUUUGAACCGCAUGGUUCAAAAGUGAAAGACGGUCUUGCUGUCACUUAUAGAUGGAUCCGCGCUGCAUUAGCUAGUUGGUAAGGUAACGGCUUACCAAGGCAACGAUGCAUAGCCGACCUGAGAGGGUGAUCGGCCACACUGGAACUGAGACACGGUCCAGACUCCUACGGGAGGCAGCAGUAGGGAAUCUUCCGCAAUGGGCGAAAGCCUGACGGAGCAACGCCGCGUGAGUGAUGAAGGUCUUCGGAUCGUAAAACUCUGUUAUUAGGGAAGAACAUAUGUGUAAGUAACUGUGCACAUCUUGACGGUACCCAAUCAGAAAGCCACGGCUAACUACGUG
Molecule: ribosomal RNA, 496 nt
Filed under: uncultured bacterium
Lineage: Bacteria
Description: partial 16S ribosomal RNA
Rfam family: Bacterial small subunit ribosomal RNA
Source: RNAcentral